UAGGGAAUCUUCCACAAUGGACGAAAGUCUGAUGGAGCAACGCCGCGUGAGUGAAGAAGGGUUUCGGCUCGUAAAACUCUGUUGUUAAAGAAGAACAUAUCUGAGAGUAACUGUUCAGGUAUUGACGGUAUUUAACCAGAAGGCCACGGCUAACUACGUGCCAA
This 164-nucleotide ribosomal RNA is filed under the name uncultured bacterium. RNAcentral's name for it is "partial 16S rRNA". It matches the Rfam family "Bacterial small subunit ribosomal RNA", at positions 355 to 511 of the family's 1533-position model. The record is from RNAcentral.